UGGGGAAUAUUGCACAAUGGGCGCAAGCCUGAUGCAGCCAUGCCGCGUGUGUGAAGAAGGCCUUCGGGUUGUAAAGCACUUUCAGCGAGGAGGAAGGUGGUGAGCUUAAUACGCUCAUCAAUUGACGUUACUCGCAGAAGAAGCACCGGCUAACUCCGUGCCAGCAGCCGCGGUAAUACGGAGGGUGCAAGCGUUAAUCGGAAUUACUGGGCGUAAAGCGCACGCAGGCGGUUUGUUAAGUCAGAUGUGAAAUCCCCGGGCUCAACCUGGGAACUGCAUUUGAAACUGGCAAGCUAGAGUCUCGUAGAGGGGGGUAGAAUUCCAGGUGUAGCGGUGAAAUGCGCAGAGAUCUGGAGGAAUACCGGUGGCGAAGGCGGCCCCCUGGACGAAGACUGACGCUCAGGUGCGAAAGCGUGGGGAGCAAACAGGAUUAGAUACCCGUGGUAGUCCACGCUGUAAACGAUGUCGAUUUGGAGGUUGUGCCCUUGAGGCGUGGCUUCCGGAGCUAACGCGUUAAAUCGACCGCCUGGGGAGUACGGCCGCAAGGUUAAAAC
Molecule: ribosomal RNA, 554 nt
Filed under: uncultured bacterium
Lineage: Bacteria
Description: partial 16S ribosomal RNA
Rfam family: Bacterial small subunit ribosomal RNA
Source: RNAcentral